Molecule: ribosomal RNA, 305 nt
Filed under: uncultured bacterium
Lineage: Bacteria
Description: bacterial SSU rRNA
Rfam family: Bacterial small subunit ribosomal RNA
Source: RNAcentral
GCCUACGGGGGGCAGCAGUAGGGAAUUUUCGUCAAUGGGCGCAAGCCUGAACGAGCAAUGCCGCGUGAACGAGGAAGGUCUUCGGAUCGUAAAGUUCUGUUGAAGGGGAAAAAGAGCGGAGAGAGGAAAUGGUCUCCGAUUGAUAUUACCCUUCGAGGAAGUCACGGCUAACUACGUGCCAGCAGCCGCGGUAAUACGUAGGUAGCGAGCGUUAUCCGGAAUGAUUGGGCGUAAAGGGUGCGUAGGCGGCCUGCUAAGUCUGGAGUGAAAGGUACCGGCUCAACCGGUACAGGCUCUGGAAACUG